RNAcentral lists this transfer RNA (87 nucleotides) under Granulosicoccus antarcticus IMCC3135. RNAcentral's name for it is "tRNA-Leu". It matches the Rfam family "tRNA". Rfam says of the family: Transfer RNA (tRNA) molecules are approximately 80 nucleotides in length. Lineage: Bacteria; Pseudomonadati; Pseudomonadota; Gammaproteobacteria; Chromatiales; Granulosicoccaceae. The record is from RNAcentral.
GCCCGGGUGGCGAAAUUGGUAGACGCAAGAGACUUAAAAUCUCUCGACCGUAAGGUCGUGCCGGUUCAAGUCCGGCCCCGGGCACCA